This 5633-nucleotide long non-coding RNA is filed under the name Homo sapiens (human). RNAcentral describes it as "non-protein coding lnc-REEP3-12:1". The record is from RNAcentral. Lineage: Eukaryota; Metazoa; Chordata; Mammalia; Primates; Hominidae.
AGAGCCGAGCUGGGCCGGCCGGGCAGCUAGGCGCUGAGACGCAGGCCUUUCCUGGCGCGAAGCGACUCGCCCCGGAGCUCCCCUGCACCGUCCUGGGUGUCAGGACGCGUCAACCCAGAUGACCCGACCCGGAGAUCCUGGAUCCUCUGCCCUCUUCCCCCUACCAAGUCCUUAACCGGAGAGGGAGGAGCUACCAAUGUCCUCCAGACGUUCUCCAAAGCCCGAGCUGCCGGGAGAAGCUUGCUCAAGGCGGGUGCGCCCCUCAGACGUUUGUUUGCACGCAGGGGUUUUGACGUUUCGCUAAGCAACAGCGUUUGCCAGGGAAUCAGGGCUGUUUCGAAGAGCUUGCGUCUAUUUGAUGCUCCCAUCUUGAACAAAUCGUUUCCAUUCGAUUUGUUUAACCAAGGCGAGGGCGGACUAUGUUGUUACUUAAAAGUUAUUCUUCAUCCAAGCUGUCCUCAGAUUUUCAUCUAAGGGUGUCAUAACACCCCAGGUCGUUGCGCAAAUGUUUUGUGACAAUUUAGAAAACCAGAGGGGGGAAAUAUCCUUAGAGAAAAAAUCAUAACCAACAAGAAAAUUAUGUUAAAUGAUGUUGGUCCUUUUUCAUCGGAUGGUCCCAGUUGACACAUAGUCUUUUACAAAACCAGUGACUAUUCACAGUCUUCAAUUUAUGGCACAUCUCCCGGUGGGGGCGAAGUGCAUGAAUGGGUCCCACCUUAUUCACCAGCUGAAACUCUGAACAAGCCUUGGGGUUUCCUCUCCCAAAGACUGCCAGGCUUCACUAAGAAUCAAAACAAAACAGGAUACUAAAUGCCUGCGGUUCCUUUUUCCAUAAUUUUUUUCUUUUAACCAGCCUUUCACCUCACCCAAAGGCCACAAUGAAGUCGAAGAAACCUGUAGAUGACAGCUUUCACAGUCUUUCUCUUGUCUUUUCAUGUACUGAAGUAUGUUAGAGAUCUGACUGGCAGCUUCAGGACACUCGGAAGCAAGGGGGACACUCUAUUAAGGAUCGCUGAAGUAUGCCCACAUGUCAGGUUUCUCUCAGAUGUGGUUAAGUCUGGAAGUGGAGGAAACAACUGGUGUCUAAAUAUGACUGAAACGUCCAGUGGACAAUGCAGAAAUAAGAGAGGCAUUCUUGACACAGUUUCUGUAUGCUGAAGAUGCCAAAAUAUUCAAGAGCCAUCGGAUUCCUGAAGCUGCUCUCACUGCACCAGCAAAGGCAAAAGCAGCCAUCCCUCUCAGCUCUAAUUUAUGGAUAUGGAUGUAUCCCAAACCCCAUCCCUUCUUACUACCUCCUGCACUAGCAACUAGUCCAAACCACCAUCAUUUCUUGCCCAACCUGCUGCAAUCACCUCUUAAGUAUUUUCCCUGCUUCCACUCCUUCACCGUAUAUUUCAUUCUCCACACAGCAGCCAAAGCGGUUUUUUUAAAAAAUACAAAUGAAAUGUGCUCACUCUACUAUUCAAAAUCCUUUAGUAGUUUCUUUUCACACUUGGAUAAAAUCCACACUCCCUCACCACAACCUAUAUGACUGGACUCUUGCCUAAUCUUCUCACCUCAUCCUCUAUCACUUUCUUCCCUGUUCAUUCCUCUCCAGGAACUGGCCUUCUCACUGUUCCUCAGAAAUAUGAAGCGGACUACUGCUUUAGGGUCUUGCAUUUGCUGUUUCCUCUGUUUUCAACCCCCAGACCGUCACAUGGCUUUCUCUCUUACCUCACUCAGGUCUCUGCUCAAAUGUUGCCUCAGAGAGGACUUCCCUCAUCACCACCCCUAAUAUAAAUGAAGCACCGUAGCCGUAGCCGUUCCCUAACCAAUUGCCCUACUUUAUUCACCUUCACAUCUCUUAUCAAAUAUCCUGUUUACCUGUUUACUUGAUUAUUGUUUGCUUUACCUCUAGAAUGCAUGUUCUAUGAGUGUAGGGACUUGGUCAAUCUUGUUCAACAAGGAACUUCCAGUCCAAAACUGUACCUGUCAUAGAAAAGGCACCCAAUAAAUAUGCAAAUCAAACUACGGUCACUCAGUGACAGAGAAAGAAUGAGAACAAUUUAAAUAGUGUGAGGAAGUGUGUUUACUAUUUUGCUCAGUAAAUGUAUGCACUAGAACAAGUAUGAGAUGGGAGAUGUGAAUCUACUUUAUCUCUUAGUUCCCCUGUGCUAUUCACAGUAUGAUCAAUGUGCCAUGCUGGGUGUUUAAAGAUGCUGACAGUUUGAACAGCAUGGCCCUUACAUGCAGAGAAGUUCCGUAAUGAGUUUGAGUCCUGGAUUCACCACGUUAGUGUCUGACCUUGGGGAAGUUACUUACGCUUUCAAUGCCUCAGUUUCUUCAUCCAUGAAAUGAGGCUAAUAAUAGUACUACCUCUAUAGGAUUGUUAUAAGGAUUAAAUUAAUAAUAUAAAUAUCUUAGAACAGUGCCUAGAACAUAGUAAGCCAUGUCUGAGUAUUUUUAAAGCAAACCUAUUUGGCUGUACUUGGUUCUCCCCUUUCUUGGGGACUUUAUAACUUGAGUACUUAUAAGAUACUACUCUGCCCAGCACUUUGGGAGGCCGAGGUGGGUGGAUCACGAGGUCAGGAGAUUCAGACCAUCCUGGCUAAAAUGAUGAAACCCCGUCUCUACUAAAACUACAAAAAAAUUAGCCAGGUGUGGUGGCGGGCGCCUGUAGUCCCAGCUACUCGGGAGGCUGAGGCAGGAGAAUGGCGUGAACCCAGGAGGCGGAGCUUGCAGUGAGCCAAGAUCGCGCCACUGCACUCCAGCCUGGGCGAUAGAGCGUGACUCCAUCUAAAAAAAAAAAAGAUGCUACUCUGAAGUGACUGGCAUUGGAAUUUUCAUCAUGCUUUUAGACCAGUAAUUUUAGUUUUAGCACCAAGUACAAUAAUUAUUUUAUAACCAUUGCUAGUCUAGCAUUUUUGCUUAGCCAUAAAUUCCAUUUAAGCCAAAAUAUCCCUAACUUUGCAAAAAACUGUACCUUCAGGGGACACCACCCAAUUAUAGUUGAAAAAAAGAUGUUUCUUCCUUUUUAAUUCUGUAGGCUUUUCUUGGCUGGCAUUUCCAUAACAUAAUAUUGUUAUUUGGUAGUUGAGUGUCAGUCAGCUCUACAGAAAAAUAAAUACCAGUGAUCUUGCUAAACCUGUGUACCAAAUCAUUCCUGAACUAGGGGAGUGGGCCAGAUAACCUUUGGAAGGCUUUUUAGCUCUGUUUUUCUGUGGUUUUCGUAAAAUGAAAAUAGCUCAGAAAUUAGAGGUUCUAGAUUUAGCACUAUGUGAACUGGGCCGGGAUGCUUUGUGAAUCAUGGACAAUUGAAAUAGUUUAAACUCAGCUUAUUUGGAACAGAUUAGGUCCAUAUUCGGGUUGAACAAGAAUGAAACCUGUUUGAACUGUGGACAGGCUGUCAGCACCCUUCUAGGCUCAGCUUUUCACUUCUCUUUCUAGGGCCUUGACUCGUUCAUAUAUAACUGUAUGAAUGCCUCUUUAGAAAGGACUGCAAACACCUCCAACUAGUGUUUGUGAAACCUCCUUGAGGUAUUCUACAUAUGAUUCAAUAAUAAACACCUUCUGCAGUCUUUACCUUAGUUAUGGUCCCAUAAGUCAUGCAUUUAUUCAUCCAGUAAAUAUUCCCUGAGGGCUUAAUAUGUGCUAGGAAUUGUGCUAGUACUAGCCACUUAGUUGUCCAAGUUAGAAACUAGGAGUUGGGCCAGGCACAGUAGCUCACGCCUGUAAUCCCAGCACUUUGGGAGGCCGAGGUGGGAGGAUCACCUGAGGUCAGGAGUUCGAGACCAGCCUGGCCAACAUGGUGAAACCCCGUCUCUAGUAAAAUUACAAAAAUUAGCUGGGUGUGGUGGUACAUACCUGUAAUCCUAGCUACUCGGGAGGCUGAGGCAGGAGAAUCGCUUAAACCUGGGAGGCAGAGGCUGCAGUGAGCCAAGAUCGUGCCACUGUACUCCAGCCUGGGCAACAGAGUGACUCCGUCUCAAAAAAAAGAAAAGAAAAAAGAAAAGAAAGAAAAAGAAACCUAGGCGUCGUCUUAAAUAUACCCCCCUCAUUCACUCCCCACAUUAGGUCAGCCACCAAACUGGUGCCAAUACUACCUUCCAAAUAUCUCUUGAAGUUUUGUUCUCCUCUUCACUCGCUCCUGGUGCCACUAUGUUGGUAAAAGUGGUGUAAGCCCAGCUACUGUAGAAAGCAGGGCACAAAGCAGUCUGCUAAGGAGGGGGAAGAGGAGGGGAAGAUGGGACACAGUGAGAUGCACUGUUAUACUGUUUACUGUUGUGCAGUCAUACAACAGGUCACUCAGCAGGCAUGGGACGUCCCUGGAAGGGUUAACAAGGAAGAACUCCAUCUUGGACUAUUCCACAUGAGAAAAAAGAGUGAGUGUGUCUUCCUGUCUCUCUCCUGGAUCCAUUUGCCAUUGGUGAAGGUUUACCCCAUGGAGAGAUAAACACCCCUGAAUUGGAUUGUGUCAUCUGGCCGCUUGGCGGCUCUCAGGAAGGCAGAUCCCAAGCUCAAGGUGUGGUACUUGUUCCAACUUCAAAAGUAAAGCAACAGGCACUCUGGAGAUCUCAGAAAGUACACAAGUGUUCAUGAAUCAAGUAUGUACAGUGAGAGAGAUCUGACAGCACUCCCUGCCUUCCCCCGAAGGAGGAGAAAUGUCAUGAAGCUAAGAGAGACUCAACAUGGAAAAUCCAAACCCUCCGAGGACAUUUACAUAGCAUGCAGAGGGCUGAAUGGUCCAUCUGGGUGCCUCUUCAUCCUCUGAAACCAGGCAGAUCAACUCUCGGAAUCCUGAGCCAUGUUCCCAAAUGGUUCUGUGAUUUAAAGGCAAGUAGGCGCAGCCAGAAAUAGGAAAUACCAUGUCCCAUGCACUCGUGGGAGAAACUCUUCCCUCUUACUUCAUAUCUCAACUCUGCCAGAGUCAUCAUGCUAUGAGUGUAUCUUUUUUGGUUUCUUAGACAAAGUCUCACUCUGUCACCUGGGCCAGAGUGCAAUGGUGCAAUCAUAGCUCACUGCAGCCUCGAACUCCUGGGCUCAAGUAAUCCUCACACCUCAGCCUCCUGAGUAGCUGGGAAUACAGAUGCAUGUCACUUAGCCUGGCUAAUUUUUUUUUUUAUUUUUUGUAGAGACAGGGUCUCGCUUUGUUGCCCAGGCUGAUGUCAAACUCCUGGGCUCAAGCGAUCCUCCCACCUCAGCCUCCCAAAGUGCUGGGAUUACAGACAUCAGAUACCACGUCUGGCCCUAAAGGACUAUUUAAAAACUACAGUAAAAUUUUUUUAUCCAGGUCAGUGGAUAAAUAUAGAAGCCUACAAACGGCGGGUGGGGAGGGCAGGGGGAAAGCAUAUUCAGCAACUCUGAAGCAUUCUCUGAUUUGGAUCAUCUUUAGUAACAACUGUAAUGACCUUUCUUGACACUCAAGGUGGGAAAUACAAAAUUCAGAGGGAAAAAUGUAAAAGCAAUCCUAUAAAUCAUUUAGUGUGAAUUUGGUUUAAAUUUAUUCAACGUCAGAGAAGUUUCAUUAUUAAUAUAGUCAAAAGAGUAUGUCCUAGCUUCAGAUCUUUUCUGUUUAUAAAGAAUAUUCCUCAUAUUCCUAUUUGUAAGAAAAAUGUAAUCUCAAAUUGUAUGCAUAAUCUUUCCAGAUUCAACCA